AUUAUAGUACGAAAUAAUGAAGUUUAUUAUCUACUUAAUAUUAAUUUUGAAAUCCUUACAUAAAUAUUACAUAAUUAUUUUUUUAAAAAACUAACCUCAACUUUCGAUCGUUGAUCUAACAGUAGUGGGUAUCUUUGAGCUCUUCUAGUAGUCCUACAUAACUCGAGCCAUGGUUCCACCUAUUCAAAUAAUUUUUUUUAAAUUGACCCAAUU
Molecule: long non-coding RNA, 213 nt
Filed under: Gossypium barbadense (sea-island cotton)
Lineage: Eukaryota; Viridiplantae; Streptophyta; Magnoliopsida; Malvales; Malvaceae
Description: long non-coding RNA (GBAR_LNC012851)
Source: RNAcentral